GAAAGAUAAUUUAGCCCAAAAUAUUUAACUAAUAAUUUCAAAUUUAUUUUAGAACUGAAAGCUCUAAAAACUUAAAUUUUGUGACAAUGAGGAGCAAAGCAUUUCUACUUGGUUUCACAUCUUACAAAGGAAGGAAAUAUAUGGCUACGAAGUUCCCUUCCAAGAUAAAAGUCUGAUUCUACUUGAGGAGCAUACAACAUAGAAUUUACUUUUUUGGUGUAUCUGAAUGUUACAGAUGCUCUCUGGGUUUUUGUUUGCUAGAUAUCAUCUCUUGGUUGUUGACAUUAAGGACGAUUAGAAUAGCAAACUCUUCUACACCUUAUAAAAGAAGGGCAAACAAAAUUUUAGAAGGGGUAAAACUGUUAUAUGCUAAGUCUUCAUUUACUUAUUCUCAUUUUAUGUUCUGCCUCAAAAGUCAUUGUGGUUCAAGAUCUCAAUGAAUGCCCACACACAAUGGAUUCAGAAAAUUAAUCUAAUGAAAAUCUGCUUCCACCUAUCUAGGAAAGACCACAAGUCUAGGAGAAGGCAGGCUAAAUUUCCCUUGUCAAUGGCAGGUGAGGGUGGUGGAGCAAAUCUGAGUACAAAGGUGGGGGUCAGAUAAAGAAGAUGUGAAAAGUAAGAUCAGUCGAGGGAGUCAACUUUGGUAGUAACCCUGAAGAACAGGAAAAAAGGUCCACGCCUCUUACUUACAUGGGAACUCUAAAAAACCUAAACUCACAGGAGAGAGUAGCAUGUUGUUUACCAGAGGCUGGGGAGAGGGUGGGGGGUCAUGAAUGAGGAAAGGGGAGAUGCUGGUCGAUGGGUACAAAGCUUCAGCUGGGAGGAGUAAGUUCUGAUAUUCUACUGCACAGCAUGGUGACUACAGUGAAGAAUAACGUACCGUUUAUUUCAAAACUGCGACAAAAGAUUUUAAAUAUACUCACCACAAAGAAAUGAUCAAUAUUGGAGGUGAUAAAUGUGCCAUUAGCCUGAUUUAAUCAUUUCACAAUGUAUGUAUGUAUUGAAAUACUAUGCUGUACCUCCAAAUAUAUAAAAUUAUUUGUUAAUAAAUCAAGAAACCAUCACCUUCUCCAUAAAUUCUAAUUGCUCAUUUAUUCCAAUGCUUCCAAUUCAAAUAUCACCCAAGGAAAAAGUAAUUUUAACAUUAUCUUGUACACCUUCUUUACAAGUGAUAUUUUAAAUAGGAGAAUAAUAGGAAUUAAAUAAAAAUAAAAUUUUUAAAAAUUAAAUACCCCAGGCAAAUGUUGCAGGCACAAAUAAAUUAUUGUAUAUAAACAUUAAAGCAGGACACAUUGAAACCUUAAUUUUGCUUCAUUUACUCUUAUACUGUAAAGACAUUCAACCAUUUUAAUGGAUGAAAGUUUAAGAGAAAACAAUGUUAACCCUGUGCAUUUUUUUUCAAAACACAUGUAAUACAAGUUAACACACCUAGGAAACGUGUAUUUAGCUUGAUUCAUACUUUUUUUUUUUUUUGGAGAGGAAGUCUAGCUCUGUCACCAGGCUGGAGUACAGUGGCAAUCUUGGCUCACUGCAACCUCUGCCUCCCAGAUUCAAGCAAUUCUCCUGCCUCAGCCUCUCAAGUGGCUGGGACUACAGGUGCAUGCCACCACGCCCAGCUAAUUUUUGUAUUUUGAGAUGGGCCAGGAUGUUGGCCAGGAUGGUCUCAAUCUCUUGACCUUGUGAUCUGCCCACCUUGGCCUCCCAAAGUGCUGGGAUUACAGACAUGAGCCAAUGUGCCCAACCUCCAUUCAUACUCUUUAUUUUGCAUCCCAGUUUACUGUAUUUUCUCUUCCUAAAGUCAGUUAACAGAAGACACUAAAAACAACUUAGUUUCAGGGAUUCAUUUUUUGCUUCUUUUUUUUUUUAAGCGGCAGAAUCUUGCUCCAGGAUCAAGUGCAGUGGCACAAUCAUAGCUCAGUGUAACCCUGAACUCCCGGGCUUAAGUGAUCCUCCCACCUCAGCCACCUGAGUAGCUGGGACUAAAGGUGUGUGCCACCAUACCCAGCUAAGAUUCAUUUUUAUAGUCUAAUUAUUUUAUAUUAGUUUUUAACACAAUUGCAGAUUUUGCAUGUUUAUUCUAAACAACAAUUUGCCAGUUACUGGAAGAUAAGACUGUUAAACUGGCAAUUUUCUAUAUAAAAGGUUACUAUAUUAGAAUGGCAGCAACAGCCAGAGAUUUGGGAUACAAUCUUAAAUGACAGAAGUAAAACAAAAAGUUACACAAGAGAGCUGGAUCAUUAAUUAGAUCAAGAGUUUGGCAAACAGGUUAUGUGAAGGGUAAAACGGGAAAUUUUUUCAGCUCUACAGGCCGUAUGUUCUCUGUUGUAACUACUCAGCUUAGCCUUUGUAAUGUGGAAACAGCCACAAACAACAGACACUUUUUCAGUUUGUUUGUAACUGAAAAACUGCAGCUGUUUUCCAAUAAAAUUUUGUUUACAAAAAUCAGUAGGCAGAAUUAGACCAAUAGUUUG
Molecule: long non-coding RNA, 2471 nt
Filed under: Homo sapiens (human)
Lineage: Eukaryota; Metazoa; Chordata; Mammalia; Primates; Hominidae
Description: HSALNT0220878
Source: RNAcentral